This is a non-coding RNA of Halobacteroidaceae bacterium, 166 nucleotides long. NCBI's taxonomy places the organism in Bacteria, Bacillati, Bacillota, Clostridia, Halanaerobiales, Halobacteroidaceae. The record is from Rfam.
GAAUACUGAAAUUGACAGCUGUAGACAGUGGGUGCUUGCAAAAGCUUAAAUUAACCCACCGAGGCGGGGAUAGAGAAUAUGCUGUUCUAGUUUGCUGCAUUAAUUCUCUUAUGAUAGAAUUGUUCUUAGGUCUCCAGUUGUCUGCGGAGGCUUUUUUUAGUUUGAA